GAGACAACGUACAAACCUUAUCGAUAAACAAUUGGAGGGCAAGUCUGGUGCCAGCAGCCGCGGUAAUUCCAGCUCCAAUAGCGUAUAUUAACGUUGUUGCAGUUAAAAAGCUCGUAGUUGAAAUGAAGGGUAGUUGUGUAAUGAAUACAUUCGUGUAUUUUGUUAUUCUACUACCCUCCUUCUAAAUUCGAUAUAUGAGUAUUAAUUUACUUGUAUAUGGUUUUAGACCUUUACUGUGAGAAAAUUAGAGUGUUCAAAGCAGGCAUUUGCUUGAAUAUAUUAGCAUGGAAUAAUCAUGUAUGAUUUUCAUGAUGUAUUUGAUUGGUUUGGUUCAUGAGAAUAAGAUUAAAAGGGACAGUUGGGGGUAUUCAUAUUCAAUAGUCAGAGGUGAAAUUCUCGGAUUUAUGGAAGAUGAACAAGUGCGAAAGCAUUUACCAAGGAUGUUUUCAUUAAUCAAGAACGAAAGUUAGGGGAUCGAAGAGGAU
RNAcentral lists this ribosomal RNA (485 nucleotides) under Blastocystis sp. subtype 3. Its description in RNAcentral is "SSU rRNA". It matches the Rfam family "Eukaryotic small subunit ribosomal RNA", at positions 516 to 1008 of the family's 1831-position model. The record is from RNAcentral. Lineage: Eukaryota; Bigyra; Opalinata; Blastocystidae.